This 253-nucleotide ribosomal RNA is filed under the name uncultured bacterium. Its description in RNAcentral is "partial 16S ribosomal RNA". It matches the Rfam family "Bacterial small subunit ribosomal RNA", at positions 524 to 776 of the family's 1533-position model. The record is from RNAcentral.
GACGAACCGUGCGAACGUUAUUCGGAAUAACUGGGCGUAAAGGGAGCGUAGGCGGGCUAUCAAGUCUGGGGUGAAAUCCCACGGCUCAACCGUGGAACUGCCUUAGAUACUGACGGCCUCGAGGGAGAUAGGGGCAUGCGGAACUGUAGGUGGAGCGGUGAAAUGCGUUGAUAUCUACAGGAACUCCGGUGGCGAAAGCGGCGUGCUGGAUCUCUUCUGACGCUGAGGCUCGAAAGCUAGGGGAGCAAACGGG